AGCGGAGCUGCUUAGAGACUGUAGAAUUGUGCUAUGUAACGCAGAAAUGCCGAGGCAUGGACGCCGAGGCAAGGAGAAAUCGAGCCAUGGAUGGCGAGUUUCGACGGUUUCGUCGAGUAAAAAAAGACUUUGGGCACAAUUCGUACAGCCUCUUAGCUGCGUAGC
This 165-nucleotide non-coding RNA is filed under the name uncultured Agathobacter sp. The record is from RNAcentral. Lineage: Bacteria; Bacillati; Bacillota; Clostridia; Lachnospirales; Lachnospiraceae.